Molecule: RNA transcript, 1179 nt
Organism: Rosa rugosa (rugosa rose)
Lineage: Eukaryota; Viridiplantae; Streptophyta; Magnoliopsida; Rosales; Rosaceae
Gene name: phosphoenolpyruvate carboxylase 4-like
Exons: 6
Source: RefSeq, a predicted model, not a curated record
CUCUCUCUCUCUCUCUCUCUCUGUGUCUCCAGACCAAAACAAGAUCGAUCUAGUUUUUUCUCCCCUCCUUUUAAUUUUCGAUCUCUCUCCUCUCUAGUGUUUUGAAUCUUCUGGGUGACUGUUGCAGUAAGGAAAAGAUCUCGUCUCCCAUCACUUAGCACUACAAAGAACUCGAAGCCGCCAUUCACUUGCUCCAAGCUCUGUGUCGAGGUCCAAAAUGGCGUUAACUUUAAGCCAAGGAGGGAUUCUCGAGAAGAACGGCUCUCCGUUUGAAGCCUUCAGCUUUGUUUCAUUUCUCUCAAGAUCUGACCCGUUGCCGCUUAAUCUCCAGGCCUCGAUCAAAAGUUAGUCGAGGUUAGAAGUUGCUUGGAUGUUGGUCAAAUAAAAAACCCAAGCUUGAGCCCUUCGAUCUCUCUCUCUCUCUCUCUCUUCGUCAAACCCUAAAAUUCCAUUCUCAGAUGCCAAGUUCUCUGGCAGUCUAGUUCCUAUCGAAUCUAUGCCUUAUCUUCUCCAAGGGUUCGUAGACAAAAGAAUGUGGCAUCCCUAUCAAAAUCUUGUGAGUGAUGGUACUUUUAAUCAGCUUCUACAGCGUGGUGUUUCCUCAGACCAGCUUUACGAUACCAUUUGCAAGCAGGUGCGAGAUAUAACUUAUAUAUGGCAGACAGAUGAGCUUAGACGUCAUAAACCCACACCAGUUGAUGAAGCUAGGGUUUGAACAUUGUGGAGCAGUCCCUUUGGAAAGCUGUACCUCAUUAUUUACAUCGUGUCAGCAAUAAAUAAGGAGUCAAUCAUUAAGGAGAUAACCGAAAACCCUUAAUAUGCUGCUGGCAAGCUGCUAUUCUCCGCUCAAUGUACCAAUUACACUCCAAUGGAUUUUGAGUUCCCAAUGGAGUUUCUUGAGGCUGGGAAUGUAUACAAGUAUGCAAAGAACUAUGUUUCUCGGCGAUCCGUAAGCUGUUGUUACCACUGCUUGACAGAUUACUUGCUUGAUAGUACUUGACAGUUUCGUCAGGAGAUCAUACAUAUAUUAGGUAAUCAUAUAACCAUUUCCUUAAUCUUGUGUGUUUCAGAAUUUUAAUUGUUCCACAGCAAUAAUUUUAGUUGAUAUCUCAUAUUAUGGCUAUGUAACAGUCUUGGCUUGUCUAAAUUCUGGAGCAGAGGAGAAUCAGGAGUUCAUUG